GGCGCCGUGGCUCAGUUGGUUAAAGCGCCUGUCUAGUAAACAGGAGACCCUGGGUUCAAAUCCCAGCGGUGCCU
RNAcentral lists this transfer RNA (74 nucleotides) under Callorhinchus milii (elephant shark). RNAcentral describes it as "tRNA-Thr (AGT) (tRNA-Thr-AGT-4-1)". It matches the Rfam family "tRNA". From Rfam's summary of the family: Transfer RNA (tRNA) molecules are approximately 80 nucleotides in length. Their secondary structure includes four short double-helical elements and three loops (D, anti-codon, and T loops). Lineage: Eukaryota; Metazoa; Chordata; Chondrichthyes; Chimaeriformes; Callorhinchidae. The record is from Rfam by way of RNAcentral.